GGGAGCUUGCUCCUGGAUUCAGCGGCGGACGGGCGAGUAAUGCCUAGGAAUCUGCCUGGUAGUGGGGGAUAACGUCCGGAAACGGGCGCUAAUACCGCAUACGUCCUGAGGGAGAAAGUGGGGGAUCUUCGGACCUCACGCUAUCAGAUGAGCCUAGGUCGGAUUAGCUAGUUGGUGGGGUAAAGGCCUACCAAGGCGACGAUCCGUAACUGGUCUGAGAGGAUGAUCAGUCACACUGGAACUGAGACACGGUCCAGACUCCUACGGGAGGCAGCAGUGGGGAAUAUUGGACAAUGGGCGAAAGCCUGAUCCAGCCAUGCCGCGUGUGUGAAGAAGGUCUUCGGAUUGUAAAGCACUUUAAGUUGGGAGGAAGGGCAGUAAGUUAAUACCUUGCUGUUUUGACGUUACCAACAGAAUAAGCACCGGCUAACUUCGUGCCAGCAGCCGCGGUAAUACGAAGGGUGCAAGCGUUAAUCGGAAUUACUGGGCGUAAAGCGCGCGUAGGUGGUUCAGCAAGUUGGAUGUGAAAUCCCCGGGCUCAACCUGGGAACUGCAUCCAAAACUACUGAGCUAGAGUACGGUAGAGGGUGGUGGAAUUUCCUGUGUAGCGGUGAAAUGCGUAGAUAUAGGAAGGAACACCAGUGGCGAAG
RNAcentral lists this ribosomal RNA (650 nucleotides) under uncultured Pseudomonas sp. RNAcentral's name for it is "bacterial SSU rRNA". It matches the Rfam family "Bacterial small subunit ribosomal RNA", at positions 74 to 720 of the family's 1533-position model. Lineage: Bacteria; Pseudomonadati; Pseudomonadota; Gammaproteobacteria; Pseudomonadales; Pseudomonadaceae. The record is from RNAcentral.